AACGAACGCUGGCGGCAGGCCUAACACAUGCAAGUCGAACGCCCCGCAAGGGGAGUGGCAGACGGGUGAGUAACGCGUGGGAACCUUCCCUGUGGUACGGAAUAACUGACCGAGAGGUUAGCUAAUACCGUAUACGUCCGAGAGGAGAAAGAUUUAUCGCCACAGGAUGGGCCCGCGUCGGAUUAGCUAGUUGGUGAGGUAAUGGCUCACCAAGGCGACGAUCCGUAGCUGGUCUGAGAGGAUGAUCAGCCACACUGGGACUGAGACACGGCCCAGACUCCUACGGGAGGCAGCAGUGGGGAAUAUUGGACAAUGGGCGCAAGCCUGAUCCAGCCAUGCCGCGUGAGUGAUGAAGGUCUUCGGAUUGUAAAACUCUUUCGCCGGGGAAGAUAAUGACGGUACCCGGAGAAGAAGCUCCGGCUAACUUCGUG
Molecule: ribosomal RNA, 431 nt
Filed under: uncultured bacterium
Lineage: Bacteria
Description: bacterial SSU rRNA
Rfam family: Bacterial small subunit ribosomal RNA
Source: RNAcentral